ACACCGUUGGUGAAACGGUAUCAUGCAUCGUUGCCAUUCAAUGAUUAAUUCAUUCGAUUGUCGAUGCGGCAGGGGUUCGACUCCCCUACGGUGUA
This is a non-coding RNA of Cryptococcus sp. DSM 104549, 95 nucleotides long. NCBI's taxonomy places the organism in Eukaryota, Fungi, Basidiomycota, Tremellomycetes, Tremellales, Cryptococcaceae. The record is from the annotation of a GenBank genome assembly.